GUAGGGAAUAUUGCAAAUGGGCGAAAGCCUGAUGUAGCAACGCCACGUGUGCGAUGAAGGUCUUCGGAUUGUAAAGCACUUUUUGGAGGGAUGAGGAAGGACAGUACCUCCAGAAUAAGCCUCGGCUAACUACGUGCCAGCAGCCGCGGUAACACGUAGGAGGCAAGCGUUAUUCGGAUUUACUGGGCGUAAAGCGCGUGCAGGCGGUUUGGAAAGUUGGAUGUGAAAGCUCCUGGCUCAACUGGGAGAGGUCGUUCAAUACUUCCAGACUUGAGAGUGGUAGAGGGAGGUGGAAUUCCGGGUGUAGUGGUGAAAUGCGUAGAUAUCCGGAGGAACACCAGUGGCGAAAGCGGCUCACUGGCUCGAUACUGACGCUGAGGUGCGAAAGCGUGGGGAGCAAACAGGAUUAGAUACCCGAGUAGUCC
RNAcentral lists this ribosomal RNA (425 nucleotides) under uncultured bacterium. RNAcentral describes it as "partial 16S ribosomal RNA". It matches the Rfam family "Bacterial small subunit ribosomal RNA", at positions 354 to 796 of the family's 1533-position model. The record is from RNAcentral.